Acyrthosiphon pisum (pea aphid) is the source of this 1259-nucleotide RNA transcript. It is a transcript of the gene named modular serine protease-like, with no coding region annotated. The record is from RefSeq and is a predicted model, not a curated record. The transcript has 9 exons. Lineage: Eukaryota; Metazoa; Arthropoda; Insecta; Hemiptera; Aphididae.
UUUUUAACCGGGGUAUUGACUUUCAUGGAUGAUCCCAAAGACGGUAUAUUUUCAGGUUUUGCAGACCUUAAAUAUUAUGUUCAAUGGAUUCGUGGAAUCUUAAACAAACAUUUCAUUGAGAAUUCAUGCUUUUUGCCAAUUGUCGAAGGAAUUCUAUAUUCUUAUGAAGGUUCUAAUGAAAUUUUAUCUCAUGGGACAUUAAUUAAUCAUCACCGUACUAUUAUUGAGAAGUGUGAACUUGGAUAUCAUAUGGCUUAUCCUAUAGGUAUUAGAUUUUGUCAGGGAAAAGGAAAAUGGUUGUCGAAUACUGAGAAAUUGUGUUUCAAAAUGUGUCCACCUCUAAUAUCAGAUAGUUUAGAUAUUAAAUGUAGUCAUAAUGGUAAGUAUGCUAAUUGCUCAAAUUUAUCGAUACCCGAUACAAUAGCAACAGCAUCAUGCAAGCCAACAUUUACUGCACCGAAUGGACAAGAGAUUACACUUGAAUUGCUUUGUCAGUCUAAUGGACUGUGGAAUAAACAACUAUAUAGAUGCCAUCCAUAUUGUGGUAGAGUGUAUGUCAAAAACCACGUAUUGAUCGACAAUGGUGAUAAAGCACUUGUUGGAACGGCACCAUGGAAUGUUGGAAUAUAUCAAUUAAAUAAAACAGAUUCUAACUAUGACAUGAUAUGUGGAGGAUCAAUUAUUUCUCCAAAUUUAAUCAUUUCUGCGGCUCAUUGUUUUUGGAAAAAAGCUAUGCUUUCUAAGAAAAUAUCAAUAACGGAUGAUCUAUACAAAAUUGCUGUUGGAAAAUAUGAUAGAAAUUUUACAAUAAUCGACAAUGAAUUCACUCAAAUAAUAAAUGUGGAAACGAUUCACCUGAAAGAAGGUUAUUAUGGACCUACUGGGUUUCAUGCUGAAGAUAUAGCUAUUAUUGUGUUACAAAACCUAGUUUCUUUUAGUAAUGGUGUUUCGCCUAUUUGUAUCGAUUGGAAUGGUAAAUACAAUGUAGCCAAUGGAGACCAAGGAAAGAAAGCGCAAACAUCGUAAGAUUCUCUGCUGAAAAUAACAUGAAUCAUGUUUGAGGGCUUGCAGCCCAAAACUAGCUCAACAACUGCCAGCUAAUGACAAGGGGGCGCCAAUGCCUACCUUACCCCCCUAAAUUAUACCACUGAUUCCCAAGACUCAAUAAAAAAUUGUUGGUUGGGGAAAAACGGAAAAAGGCAUUUCAAGUCCUAUUUUAUUAGAAGCAUCUUUACCAUACAUCGACCAUAGUACUUGUC